This 614-nucleotide ribosomal RNA is filed under the name uncultured Sphingomonas sp. RNAcentral's name for it is "bacterial SSU rRNA". It matches the Rfam family "Bacterial small subunit ribosomal RNA", at positions 62 to 708 of the family's 1533-position model. The record is from RNAcentral. Lineage: Bacteria; Pseudomonadati; Pseudomonadota; Alphaproteobacteria; Sphingomonadales; Sphingomonadaceae.
UCGAACGUAAGCUUCGGGCUUAGUGGCGCACGGGUGCGUAACGCGUGGGAAUCUGCCUCUUGCUUCGGAAUAACAGUGGGAAACUACUGCUAAUACCGGAUGAUGUCUUCGGACCAAAGAUUUAUCGGCAAGAGAUGAGCCCGCGUAGGAUUAGGUAGUUGGUGGGGUAAAGGCCUACCAAGCCGACGAUCCUUAGCUGGUCUGAGAGGAUGAUCAGCCACACUGGGACUGAGACACGGCCCAGACUCCUACGGGAGGCAGCAGUGGGGAAUAUUGGACAAUGGGGGCAACCCUGAUCCAGCAAUGCCGCGUGAGUGAUGAAGGCCUUAGGGUUGUAAAGCUCUUUUACCAGGGAUGAUAAUGACAGUACCUGGAGAAUAAGCUCCGGCUAACUCCGUGCCANNAGCCGNGGUAAUACAGGAGAGGAGCUAGCGUAUGUACGNGAAUUACUGGGCGUAAAGCGCACGUAGAGCAGGUNUACUCAAGUCAAGAGGUGAAAGCCCAGGGGCUCAACCACCGGAACUGCCUUUGAAACUAAGGUAACUAGAAUCCUGNAGAGGUNGAGUGGAAUACCGAGUGUAGAGGUGANAAUUCGUAAGAUAUACGGAAGAACG